RNAcentral lists this ribosomal RNA (492 nucleotides) under uncultured bacterium. RNAcentral describes it as "partial 16S ribosomal RNA". It matches the Rfam family "Bacterial small subunit ribosomal RNA", at positions 29 to 507 of the family's 1533-position model. The record is from RNAcentral.
AGUGAACGCUGGCGGUAGGCCUAACACAUGCAAGUCGAACGGCAGCGCAGUAAGAGCUUGCUCUUACGGGUGGCGAGUGGCGGACGGGUGAGGAAUACAUCGGAAUCUACUUUUUCGUGGGGGAUAACGUAGGGAAACUUACGCUAAUACCGCAUACGACCUACGGGUGAAAGCAGGGGAUCUUCGGACCUUGCGCGAUUGAAUGAGCCGAUGUCGGAUUAGCUAGUUGGCGGGGUAAAGGCCCACCAAGGCGACGAUCCGUAGCUGGUCUGAGAGGAUGAUCAGCCACACUGGAACUGAGACACGGACCAGACUCCUACGGGAGGCAGCAGUGGGGAAUAUUGGACAAUGGGCGCAAGCCUGAUCCAGCCAUACCGCGUGGGUGAAGAAGGCCUUCGGGUUGUAAAGCCCUUUUGUUGGGAAAGAAAAGCAGCAGGUUAAUACCCCGCUGUUCUGACGGUACCCAAAGAAUAAGCACCGGCUAACUUCGUG